UACUGACGCUAAAGCUCGAAAGUGCGGGUAUCGAACAGGAUUAGAUACCCUGGUAGUCCGCACGGUAAACGAUGGAUGCCCGCUGUUGGCGAUACAUUGUCAGCGGCCAAGCGAAAGCGUUAAGCAUCCCACCUGGGGAGUACGCCGGCAACGGUGAAACUCAAAGGAAUUGACGGGGGCCCGCACAAGCGGAGGAACAUGUGGUUUAAUUCGAUGAUACGCGAGGAACCUUACCCGGGCUUGAACUGCCAGCGAACGAUACAGAGAUGUUGAGGCCCUUCGGGGCGCUGGUGGAGGUGCUGCAUGGUUGUCGUCAGCUCGUGCCGUGAGGUGUCGGCUUAAGUGCCAUAACGAGCGCAACCCCUUUCUUCAGUUGCCAUCAGGUUGAGCUGGGCACUCUGGAGACACUGCCGCCGUAAGGUGUGAGGAAGGUGGGGAUGACGUCAAAUCAGCACGGCCCUUACGUCCGGGGCUACACACGUGUUACAAUGGGUGAUACAGAGAGUCAGUGCAUGGCAAUAUGCAUUCAAUCAUGAAAGUCAUCCUCAGUUCGGAUUGGGGUCUGCAACCCGACCCCAUGAAGCUGGAUUCGCUAGUAAU
This 600-nucleotide ribosomal RNA is filed under the name uncultured bacterium. Its description in RNAcentral is "bacterial SSU rRNA". It matches the Rfam family "Bacterial small subunit ribosomal RNA", at positions 738 to 1342 of the family's 1533-position model. The record is from RNAcentral.